Molecule: long non-coding RNA, 215 nt
Filed under: Setaria italica (foxtail millet)
Lineage: Eukaryota; Viridiplantae; Streptophyta; Magnoliopsida; Poales; Poaceae
Description: long non-coding RNA (SITA_LNC001260)
Source: RNAcentral
GGCGAUCGUGGUUCCUAUUAUGGCAAGGUUCCAAUCAUAGGUGGCCCUCAGCAUAAGCCGAAGAAAAAGAGCGCGCUGGAAAAAGCAAUGCUUCGUUAUUUGCAGCAACGUCAUGAAGAAGCUGUUGCCGCGGGUCAGGAACCUCCUUUUGGUGGUCGUUAUGCUCCACCCUCAGUCCCGGGUGUUUCACGUCCACUUAGUACUACCGUUUCAGG